ACUGCGUUCUUGAUGGGUACUCAG
Molecule: non-coding RNA, 24 nt
Filed under: Arabidopsis thaliana (thale cress)
Lineage: Eukaryota; Viridiplantae; Streptophyta; Magnoliopsida; Brassicales; Brassicaceae
Source: RNAcentral